GUGGGUGGAAAACAGACACGUCUAAUGGAAUAUGAUCAUGCGGUAUCCAAUCUUUUCUCAUUCUUGCUGGGGAUCCAUUUCUUGGGUGACAGGCCUUGCCACUUUCAGAAGAGACGUAACUUUGGGCUGGAGCCUCUUUAAGUAGCAACUUCAACACUAACCACUUGGCCAUUGUCUUAUGAGGAAUUGAGGCAGAGAGAGAUGAAGUGACUUGCCCAAGAACGCACAGCAACUCCGUGUCAGAGGAGGAAAUUGAACAGAACUCCUGAGUCCCAGUUCAUUGCCUUAACAAGAAGAUCAUUCAUCCUCUCUGAUUCUACUACCCUCUGAUCCAUCAAAUCCUCCUUCAUGCAGCACCUCUCUCCUAUUAGAAACUCCUUGCC
Long non-coding RNA from Mauremys mutica (yellowpond turtle), 383 nucleotides. RefSeq lists it as uncharacterized. The record is from RefSeq and is a predicted model, not a curated record. The transcript has 4 exons. Lineage: Eukaryota; Metazoa; Chordata; Testudines; Geoemydidae.